Molecule: long non-coding RNA, 204 nt
Filed under: Elaeis guineensis (African oil palm)
Lineage: Eukaryota; Viridiplantae; Streptophyta; Magnoliopsida; Arecales; Arecaceae
Description: long non-coding RNA (EGUI_LNC052650)
Source: RNAcentral
UUGGAUGUGCCAAAUAUCCUUUUAUGCUCUAUCUAGAUAGGUUGCCAUAUAUCGAAAAAUCAUUAAGUGUUCACAUUAUCAUCGCAUGUAAUAAAAUUUUUUUCUUACUAACUGAAUCAUAUGUUACAACACCAAUCUCCCAAAGUUCUCUCAAUUCAUCGAUUAAGGGUCGUAGAUAAACAUCAUCUCAUUACCAGGAGCUGU